GAAAAAAAUGACGGUACCUGAGGAGGAAGCCACGGCUAACUACGUGCCAGCAGCCGCGGUAAUACGUAGGUGGCAAGCGUUGUCCGGAAUUACUGGGCGUAAAGAGCGCGUAGGCGGGGAUUUAAGUCAGGAGUGAAAACUACCGGCUCAACCGGUAGCCUGCUCUUGAAACUGAAUUUCUUGAGGGUAUGAGAGGAAAGCGGAAUUCCCAGUGUAGCGGUGAAAUGCGUAGAUAUUGGGAGGAACACCAGUGGCGAAGGCGGCUUUCUGGCAUACAACUGACGCUGAGGCGCGAAAGCGUGGGGAGCAAACGGGAUUAGAUACCCCGGUAGUCCACGCCGUAAACGAUGGGUACUAGGUGUAGGAGGUAUCGACCCCUUCUGUGCCGUAGUUAACACAAUAAGUACCCCGCCUGGGGAGUACGGCCGCAAGGUUGAAACUCAAAGGAAUUGACGGGGGCCCGCACAAGCGGUGGAGUAUGUGGUUUAAUUCGACGCAACGCGAAGAACCUUACCAGGGCUUGACAUCCCCUGAAUGCUAUGGAAACAUGGAGUUCUGCCUUCGGGUGGACAGGGAGACAGGUGGUGCAUGGUUGUCGUCAGCUCGUGUCGUGAGAUGUUGGGUUAAGUCCCGCAACGAGCGCAACCCUAAUCCCGCGGCCAUG
This 664-nucleotide ribosomal RNA is filed under the name uncultured Peptococcaceae bacterium. RNAcentral describes it as "bacterial SSU rRNA". It matches the Rfam family "Bacterial small subunit ribosomal RNA", at positions 462 to 1122 of the family's 1533-position model. Lineage: Bacteria; Bacillati; Bacillota; Clostridia; Eubacteriales; Peptococcaceae. The record is from RNAcentral.